GUAGGUGGCAAGCGUUGUCCGGAAUUAUUGGGCGUAAAGCGCGCGCAGGCGGUUCUUUAAGUCUGAUGUGAAAGCCCACGGCUCAACCGUGGAGGGUCAUUGGAAACUGGAGAACUUGAGUACAGAAGAGGAAAGCGGAAUUCCACGUGUAGCGGUGAAAUGCGUAGAGAUGUGGAGGAACACCAGUGGCGAAGGCGGCUUUCUGGUCUGUAACUGGCGCUGAGGCGCGAAAGCGUGGGGGAGCAAACAGGAUUAGAUACCCUGGUAGUCCACGCCGUAAACGAUGAGUGCUAAGUGUUAGGGGGUUUCCGCCCCUUAGUGCUGCAGCUAACGCAUUAAGCACUCCGCCUGGGAGUACGGCCGCAAGGCUG
RNAcentral lists this ribosomal RNA (371 nucleotides) under uncultured organism. RNAcentral describes it as "partial 16S ribosomal RNA". It matches the Rfam family "Bacterial small subunit ribosomal RNA", at positions 527 to 896 of the family's 1533-position model. The record is from RNAcentral.